Molecule: ribosomal RNA, 506 nt
Filed under: uncultured bacterium
Lineage: Bacteria
Description: bacterial SSU rRNA
Rfam family: Bacterial small subunit ribosomal RNA
Source: RNAcentral
AACGAACGCUGGCGGCGUGCUUAACACAUGCAAGUCGAACGCGAAAGUCCCUUCGGGGGCGAGUAGAGUGGCGCACGGGUGAGUAACGCGUAGGAACGUACCUAAUGGUGGGGAAUAACCUCGGGAAACCGUGGCUAAUACCGCAUGAUAUCGCGAGAUCAAAGGAGGCCUCUGCUUGCAAGCUUCCGCCGUUAGAGCGGCCUACGUCCUAUUAGCUAGUUGGUAGGGUAAAAGCUUACCAAGGCAAUGAUGGGUAACUGGUCUGAGAGGAUGAUCAGUCACACUGGAACUGAGACACGGCCCAGACUCCUACGGGAGGCAGCAGUGGGGAAUCUUGCACAAUGGGCGAAAGCCUGAUGCAGCAACGCCGCGUGGUGAAGAAGGUCUUCGGAUUGUAAAGCCCUUUCGGCUGGGAAGAAGGGCGAAGUAGCUAAUACCUACCUCGUCUGACGGUACCAGAAGAAGAAGCACCGGCUAAUUCCGUGCCAGCAGCCGCGGUAAUACGG